CUCAAAUUGCAUUACUAAUAUUGAUCUUGUUUUCGCAUGUGUUUUUCUUUUCGUACUUACUGGAAGAAAGUCUUAUUUCUAGCAGCUGGCCCUUUGAGAAAAGUGUCUGGCAUUAGCAAAACACUGGGCAUUUCUUUCCGCCAUUUGGGUAGAUCUAGAAUAAUUGGAAUGUAGAAAAGGUUGCCUGUUUCGAUCAUGUCCAAACCCCAUAGAUUCCUCUUGCACAACGGCUAUUUAGUUGGAUUUUUGUGGCUGUGUGGGUGUAGGACUGCAGCAAGCACUCAUGAUUUCAUCCUGUGAAAGGACUGCAUCCACAUCCAACUUUUUUUCUUUUAUGGUCUGGCUCUCUGCCAUAUGUUCAGUGAAUAAAUUGGAUGUGACUGAGCAAUUUCUGAACCAAACUACUGCAGCGAAGGCAUUAGCCAGCGCAAUAAGGACUAGAAGAGAGCUUCAAGACCAGUUACCAGGAUUUUCCAGGGUCUCCAACAAUGAUAUUGCGCUCAAGAUUCCAAAAGCCUUCAGAGGUGAAGAAUAGAAAACGACAAAUGAGGUGUGGUAAAGAUAAACGGAAAAAAUCAACUGCAUCUCGGAUAGCAAUGGACCAGGAAACUACGCGUAAAAAUCAAAACCUAAAGAAAUCAUCAAGUAAAUGUGAAGCAUACCAACACUAUGACAGAAAGAAAUGUUACAUACUGACAAGGGACUCAAAAACUCUGCGUUUUGAUUUAGACGACAAUGGCUGUCAUAAAAUAUCAAUUGAGGAUUCACAAUCCAUUGAAGAUAUUGCAUGGUUAGACAUAUUCACAAGCAACAAACCGAAUAAUUAUGCUCUGGUGGCCAGAAACAGCACUAAAAAACGUUGUAAAAAUUUGGUGACCAUGACCCAGCGAUCAAAAAAUAACUUUCUCCUAUUGGGCAAGAAUAAGAAACAACUGUGUCUGAAGUUGACUGAACAAGAAAACCAGCUGUUCAUCAUGCAUUACAACGAAGAAGAUUCAGUUAGGUUUCAGUGUUAUGAGGAUCAGAACUACUACCUUCAUGUGAACAAGGACUCCGUUGAUCUAUGCAAGAUGAAAGAAACAGAUGCUGAUACAGGAAAAGACUUCUAUUUCAAGGUGGCAUAUGUGUGAUACAUAGUUCCCCAGACCUUGCAAUGACUCAAGUAUGUACACAGCCCCUGAAAUGAGCCAAUACAAAAUAGAAAUGAAGGGAGAUUGAGAUCACGGGGGGAUUAAGUUCCUUAGUUUUGUAUCAAGUUUUUCUAUAGCUUCUGUUUCAUGAUUCACUAUUUUUGAUGUCUAAGGGAGAGGUUAUUUUGUGUUUUAAAUAUGCUGUACCUGAGCGAAGUAUGUAACUUAGAGAAGGGAUGGCUAGCAGUGUUUUAGAAAAAAAAAAGCAAUUUCUUGGUAACUUUUUUUUCCUUGACAUUAUAUUUAUACUUUAAAGGAGGCUGAUUUAGGAAGUGGGGAACAUAACAGCAGGGACCCAAAAAUAGGAAGAGAGAAUCACAGAAAAGAUAACACUUUUAAUAUUACAUUUUGUAAUAAGAAACUGUAUUUCUUAAAUGUCGCACAUAAAUUCACCUGAAAAACCAUGAAGGAGAUUAAUAAUUAUUCAGCAGCCACUACAUGUACGUGAAUGUGUGUGUACAAUGUACUUACUUUACUGAGGCUUUGCUACACCAGCCAUUCUGCUCCCACCCUGGAGAUCUGAAAAAAAGAGCAUAAGGACAGAGGGCUAGUAGUUAAAGGCUAACAGCAAAGCUAUUCCACCUUCUUUACCACCCCCCAAGUAAAUCCAUUUACCUUUCCAAGCUACUCCAGCCCCCAUUCUUCAUCUUUCCACCCCCACCAAAAAAAAAACAGCUGAAUGGCCUGAGAAUCCCACUGCAUUAGCAGGAAGAGGGCAGAUUGGGCAUCAUGGAAGGAUGUGCUCCCUGUGAACUUUGGUCUGAUCAAUUCCCAACUCGAUCCUAGAGGGAAACACAAUAGAGAAGGAAAUCUUUAGCUCAGGUACAGAGCAAAGUACAAAACAGUACAAACAAAAAUUGAAAUAAGUGUCUGAAUAAAUGAAUUCAAAGAAUAAACUCA
Molecule: long non-coding RNA, 2090 nt
Organism: Chrysemys picta bellii (western painted turtle)
Lineage: Eukaryota; Metazoa; Chordata; Testudines; Emydidae
Source: Ensembl